Solea solea (common sole) is the source of this 383-nucleotide long non-coding RNA. RefSeq lists it as uncharacterized. The transcript has 3 exons. The record is from RefSeq and is a predicted model, not a curated record. NCBI's taxonomy places the organism in Eukaryota, Metazoa, Chordata, Actinopteri, Pleuronectiformes, Soleidae.
GCAGCAGCAGUAACAGCAGCAGCAGAGAUGACUUCACUGCAGCAGGUGAACCGCAGAGUGCUGGCGAUCAGAGAGUCCACAGUUCGCAGACUCUGGCUGCUCACAUCACACAGGGAGAAAAGAGACCGUUCCAGGAGGUGAUUGAUGUCAGUUCAUAUGAUCCCCAGGGGGCAGGGAUGGCGCCCAUCUCAUUAGUUCGCCAGGUUGUGUGUUCUGGUUCCUCCCGCCUCUCUGGACCAGGUCCUGGCUCGUCUUCAGUCUUUCCACCUACUUCUGCUGGAAAGGACACAAACGUGUGGAUAAACUCGAGCAUGGUUUUCAUGGUUGUCUCUUCUGACUUUUGUUACACAUUUCAAUGCAUUGUCAUCCAAAGACACUAAAAA